Molecule: ribosomal RNA, 445 nt
Filed under: uncultured bacterium
Lineage: Bacteria
Description: bacterial SSU rRNA
Rfam family: Bacterial small subunit ribosomal RNA
Source: RNAcentral
GUGCCAGCCGCCGCGGUAAUACGUAGGUGGCAAGCGUUGUCCGGAUUUAUUGGGCGUAAAGCGAGCGCAGGCGGUUUCUUAAGUCUGAUGUGAAAGCCCCCGGCUCAACCGGGGAGGGUCAUUGGAAACUGGGAGACUUGAGUGCAGAAGAGGAGAGUGGAAUUCCAUGUGUAGCGGUGAAAUGCGUAGAUAUAUGGAGGAACACCAGUGGCGAAGGCGGCUCUCUGGUCUGUAACUGACGCUGAGGCUCGAAAGCGUGGGGAGCGAACAGGAUUAGAUACCCUGGUAGUCCACGCCGUAAACGAUGAGUGCUAAGUGUUGGAGGGUUUCCGCCCUUCAGUGCUGCAGCAAACGCAUUAAGCACUCCGCCUGGGGAGUACGACCGCAAGGUUGAAACUCANAGGAAUUGACGGGGGCCCGCACAAGCGGUGGAGCAUGUGGUUUA